UUGGAGGGCAAGUCUGGUGCCAGCAGCCGCGGUAAUUCCAGCUCCAAUAGCGUAUAUUAAAGUUGCUGCAGUUAAAAAGCUCGUAGUUGAAUUUCGGGACCAUCAUGUCGGUCGUGCCUCGGUACGUACUGGUAUUGUUGGUUUCUCCCUUCUGACGAACCAUGAUGUCAUUUAUUUGGUGUUGUGGGGAAUCAGGACUGUUACUUUGAAAAAAUUAGAGUGUUUAAAGCAGGCUCACGCUUGAAUACAUUAGCAUGGAAUAAUGAAAUAGGACGUUUGAUUCUAUUUCGUUGGUUUCUAGGAUCGACGUAAUGAUUAAUAGGGAUAGUUGGGGGCAUUAGUAUUCAAUUGUCAGAGGUGAAAUUCUUGGAUUUAUUGAAGACUAACUACUGCGAAAGCAUUUGCCAAGGAUGUUUUCAUUAAUCAAGAACGAAAGUUAGGGGAUCGAAGACGAUCAGAUACCGUCGUAGUCUUAACCAUAAACUAUGCCGACUAGGGAUCGGAUGAUGUUAAUUUUUUAAUGACUCAUUCGGCGCCUUACGGGAAAC
RNAcentral lists this ribosomal RNA (548 nucleotides) under uncultured Glomeromycotina. RNAcentral describes it as "SSU rRNA". It matches the Rfam family "Eukaryotic small subunit ribosomal RNA", at positions 548 to 1098 of the family's 1831-position model. Lineage: Eukaryota; Fungi; Glomeromycota. The record is from RNAcentral.